Molecule: ribosomal RNA, 900 nt
Filed under: Triticum aestivum (bread wheat)
Lineage: Eukaryota; Viridiplantae; Streptophyta; Magnoliopsida; Poales; Poaceae
Description: partial small subunit ribosomal RNA
Source: RNAcentral
AUGGAGCACCAGCGACGGGAGCCGGCGCCGGAGACGGAGGUCACCCUGCGCGAGUUCACCGAGGCCGACGCGGAGGCGCUCUUCGCGUGGGCGUCGGACCCGCGCGUGGUCCUCUUCCAGCGCCGCGAGGCCUACGCGCGCGUCGACGAGGCCCGCCGCUACAUCCGCGACCACGUCCUCCCGCACCCGUGGUACCGCGCCAUCUGCCUCGGCGCCGUGGCGGUGGGAUCCAUCUCCGUCAAGCCCUGCGGCCCCGCGGGGGAGGAGGAGGGCGCGUCGUCGUCGAGGGCGUCCCUGGGCUACCGCGUCGCGCACGGCUACUGGGGCCGCGGCAUCGCGACGCGCGCGGUGGGGAUGGCCGCGGCGGCGGCGUUCGCGGAGUGGCUGUGGCUGGCGCGGCUGGAGGCGGUGGCCGACGUGGAGAACCCGGCGUCGCAGCGGGUGCUGGAGAAGGCCGGGUUCGUGAGGGAGGGCCUGCUCCGGCGCUACGUCGUGCUCAAGGGCCGGCCCAGGGACAUGGUCAUAUCACAAUCAUACUACACUAGCAGAGGCAGGCGGGGAGCGAUGGACCUUGACGACGGCGACGCGCGGCGGCAAAAGGAGGCGGAGGGCCCGGUGGUGUCGCUCCGGCCGCUGGGCCACUGGGGCCGCGGCGUCGCCUCCGCCGCCAUCAGGAUGGUGGUUGGGAGGGUGUUCGAGGAUCUGCCGGGGCUGGGGAGGCUGGAGGCGGUGACGGACGUCGGGAACGCGCGGUCGCAGCGGGCGCUGGAGAAGGCCGGGUUCCACAGGGAAGGGGUGCUGCGCAGCUACAUCGUCCGCCCCGGCGCCGGCGCCGGCGAGGCCGUGGACGCCGCGGUGUACAGCUUCUUGUCGUCCGACCCUCGUCCACCGCUCGCGUGA